GUAUCGAUUCUGCAGACUCCUAAACAUAAACUUUGUUUUGAAUGAUACCUCACAAUUCCAAACAACUCCGUGCCGGUGUCUUCGACUCCAUGCCAUCCAGAAGCCACUUCCAAGUUGACAAACAUCCUCCAUCGGCAAAGGGGCAAGGCUGAGAUGGUGAGCCAGAAUCCUGUACCAUUUCGAGCAGCGUCUGCUGUAGCUCCUCCAAGUCCAGGCUAUAUUGCUUCUCCUGACACGAUUAAGAUGUGCAGUCGUGAAAGAUAUGAAAUCUUUAACACAAUUCAAUCAACAAAGACAUUUGAUGAUGCUGGCACAAUUUAGCUAUGGAUCAUCAUUCAUGUUGUUAACCGAGUAUAAACUGGAAUCAGCUUAAGAAGAAGAGCAAGGCAACAGAAUGAGGAUUACCUCUUUCCUUGUGCCGGCCAUAAGCGACAUCCUUUCCAGCACAAAAUCACGAUCGGCCUACAAAGUUUACGAGGAAGAAAACAAUUAAAAUUAGGUGGAUCAUAAAGAAUAGAGUCAUACAAUCUCCUCCUCGUCCCAUCCGAAAACACUGUUGCCAUCCAAAUUGAAGAACUUUUCAGUUCAUUCAUAAAGAAUAGAGGAAGGAUUAAUAGGGUUUGAGAGGAUUAGGGUCUCUGAUUAAAGAAAUAGUUAAGGAUGAGAUGUUAAGGCAAAGAACUUGUCAUUGAGUUGUCGAUCGAUAAAGACUUUGAUGAGUAUUUAUCCUUUUUAUUUUAAAUUAUUGUGUUAAAUAUAUAUUUAUUGAAUCAUAGUUUAAAUCAUUGUUUUGAAUCAUAAUUUUUUGAGUGUUUACCUUGUUGCAAUAGAAGUGUUUUUCUUGUUA
Musa acuminata AAA Group (dessert banana) is the source of this 847-nucleotide long non-coding RNA. RefSeq lists it as uncharacterized. The record is from RefSeq and is a predicted model, not a curated record. The transcript has 3 exons. Lineage: Eukaryota; Viridiplantae; Streptophyta; Magnoliopsida; Zingiberales; Musaceae.